This 542-nucleotide ribosomal RNA is filed under the name uncultured bacterium. RNAcentral describes it as "bacterial SSU rRNA". It matches the Rfam family "Bacterial small subunit ribosomal RNA", at positions 35 to 603 of the family's 1533-position model. The record is from RNAcentral.
GCUGGCGGUGUGCUUUAUGCAUGCAAGUCGAACGAUUCAUUUCGGUGAUUAGUGGCAGACGGGUGAGUAACACGUAAGUGACCUGCCCUUAAGUGGGGAACAACUCUGAGAAAUCGGAGCUAAUACCGCAUGUGGUGAUGGUGUUAAUACGCCAACACUAAAGCCUUCGGGUGCUUGAGGAGGGGCUUGCGUCCGAUUAGCUAGUUGGUGAGGUAAAGGCCUACCAAGGCGACGAUCGGUAGCUGGUUUGAGAGGACGACCAGCCACACUGGGACUGAGACACGGCCCAGACUCCUACGGGAGGCAGCAGCAAGGAAUAUUGGGCAAUGGGCGGAAGCCUGACCCAGCGACACCGCGUGGAGGAAGAAGGCCUUCGGGUUGUAAACUCCUUUUCCCGGGGAAGAAUAAUGACGGUACCUGGGGAAUAAGUCUCGGCUAACUACGUGCCAGCAGCCGCGGUAAUACGUAGGAGACGAGCGUUAUCCGGAUUUACUGGGCGUAAAGGGGGCGUAGGCGGCUUUUCAAGUUGGAUGUGAAAUCUC